Molecule: ribosomal RNA, 591 nt
Filed under: Bacillus nakamurai
Lineage: Bacteria; Bacillati; Bacillota; Bacilli; Caryophanales; Bacillaceae
Description: bacterial SSU rRNA
Rfam family: Bacterial small subunit ribosomal RNA
Source: RNAcentral
UCUCUGGUCUGUAACUGACGCUGAGGAGCGAAAGCGUGGGGAGCGAACAGGAUUAGAUACCCUGGUAGUCCACGCCGUAAACGAUGAGUGCUAAGUGUUAGGGGGUUUCCGCCCCUUAGUGCUGCAGCUAACGCAUUAAGCACUCCGCCUGGGGAGUACGGUCGCAAGACUGAAACUCAAAGGAAUUGACGGGGGCCCGCACAAGCGGUGGAGCAUGUGGUUUAAUUCGAAGCAACGCGAAGAACCUUACCAGGUCUUGACAUCCUCUGACAAUCCUAGAGAUAGGACGUCCCCUUCGGGGGCAGAGUGACAGGUGGUGCAUGGUUGUCGUCAGCUCGUGUCGUGAGAUGUUGGGUUAAGUCCCGCAACGAGCGCAACCCUUGAUCUUAGUUGCCAGCAUUCAGUUGGGCACUCUAAGGUGACUGCCGGUGACAAACCGGAGGAAGGUGGGGAUGACGUCAAAUCAUCAUGCCCCUUAUGACCUGGGCUACACACGUGCUACAAUGGACAGAACAAAGGGCAGCGAAACCGCGAGGUUAAGCCAAUCCCACAAAUCUGUUCUCAGUUCGGAUCGCAGUCUGCAACUCGACU